RNAcentral lists this non-coding RNA (592 nucleotides) under Caenorhabditis japonica. RNAcentral's name for it is "Eukaryotic large subunit ribosomal RNA". It matches the Rfam family "Eukaryotic large subunit ribosomal RNA", at positions 1814 to 2398 of the family's 3401-position model. Lineage: Eukaryota; Metazoa; Nematoda; Chromadorea; Rhabditida; Rhabditidae. The record is from Rfam by way of RNAcentral.
CAAGGGAGGCUAUUAAUUUGCACUCAAUCGUACCGAUAUCCGCAUUAGGUCUCCAAGGUGAACAGCCUCUAGUCGAUAGAAUAAUGUAGGUAAGGGAAGUCGGCAAACUAGAUCCGUAACUUCGGGAAAAGGAUUGGCUCCAGUGGUCGGAACGGUUGGCCAGUUGGUUGAUGCUUGUCCGGCGCUGUUCUGUCUGCUUGAUGCUUUCGGGCUGAUGGCGGCCUAGUGAUAGUGCUUGCUUGUUGACGCUUUCUGGUGUGUGCUUUGACCUCGGUCUUAGUAUCCUGAUCGUUCAUCUAAACGACUAAACUGGAACCGGUACGGACUCAGGGAAUCCGACUGUCUAAUUAAAACAGAGGUGACAGAUGGUCCUUGCGGACGCUGACUGUCACUGAUUUCUGCCCAGUGCUCUGAAUGUUAAAUCGUAGUAAUUCGAGUAAGCGCGGGUAAACGGCGGGAGUAACUAUGACUCUCUUAAGGUAGCCAAAUGCCUCGUCAUUUAAUUGUUGACGCGCAUGAAUGGGGGAGAGGGUAAAUAAGACUUCCUUCUUGGGGUAUGAUCGAUUGCGUAGUCUUCUAGCCUACGAUCUGU